This 72-nucleotide transfer RNA is filed under the name Perkinsus olseni. RNAcentral describes it as "tRNA-Pro". It matches the Rfam family "tRNA". Rfam says of the family: Transfer RNA (tRNA) molecules are approximately 80 nucleotides in length. Lineage: Eukaryota; Perkinsozoa; Perkinsida; Perkinsidae. The record is from RNAcentral.
GGCUGUGUGGUCUAGUGGUAUGAUUCUCGCUUAGGGUGCGAGAGGUCCCGAGUGCAAUUCUCGGCACAGUCC